RNAcentral lists this long non-coding RNA (1137 nucleotides) under Spirodela polyrhiza (greater duckweed). Its description in RNAcentral is "long non-coding RNA (SPOL_LNC001947)". Lineage: Eukaryota; Viridiplantae; Streptophyta; Magnoliopsida; Alismatales; Araceae. The record is from RNAcentral.
GCUUCUCCAAGGUCGUCACCAGCUGCCAGCCGCCAGCCCCUCUGGUGCGAUAAUUCAUCUGCCUAGCGCUUACUACGGUACACAUUUGCUGCUGAAAUUGUUUCAUUUAUUGAUAGUAUGAGGUAGUUGUCCAGUGGCGCUAUGUAAAACCGCUCUCUAGGAACCUGGUGUUGUCGUGUUUGCCUCAUAAUUGUACUUGUAAUGAACUGAUGUGUGCAUAGUCUAAUAAGCUUGAUUUUAGAGAGAGAAAGUCCUCAUAAUGGUCUCUGCAAUUGAUUCAUUUAUCUAGAGAAUGAAUGUGGAGUUGGUCGGUGGUUAUGUAAAACCUCUCUCUAGGAACCUUUUGUUGUUGUUGUUGCUGCUGUUGUGUUUUCCCCACAUGAUUGUACUUGUAAUGAACUUAUGUGGAUAGUCUACUAAGCUUGAUUUUAGAGAGAGAAAGUCCUCAUAAUGGUCGCUGAAAUUGAUUCAUUUAUCCAGAGAAUGAAUGUGGAGUUGUCCAGUGGUGCUAUGUAAAACCUCUCUCUAGGAACCUGUUAUUGCUGUUGUGUUUUCCCCAUGAUUGUACUUUUAAUGAACUUAUGUGUGGAUAGUCUACUAAGCUUGAUUUUAGAGAGAGAAAGUCGUCAUAAUGGUCGCUGCAAUUGAUUCAUUUAUUUAGAGAAUGAAUGUGGAGUUGGUCGGUGGUUAUGUAAAACCUCUCUCUAGGAACCUGUUGCUGUUGUUGUUGUUGCUGUUGUGUUUUCCCCAUGAUUGUACUUUGUAAUGAACUUAUGUGGAUAGUCUACUAAGCUUGAUUUUAGAGAGAGAAAGUCCUCAUAAUGGUCGCUGAAAUUGAUUCAUUUAUCCAGAGAAUGAAUGUGGAGUUGUCCAGUGGUGCUAAGUAAAACCUCUCACUAGGAGAUUAUUUGUUAUGAACUAAUAAGGUUAAUUUUUAGAGAGAGAAAGUCCUCAUAAUGGGCGCUGAUAUCAUUUCAUUUAUCGAUAGAAUGAAUGUCGGAGUCACCUGAUUGUGCUUGUAAUGAACUGAUAUGUGGAUAGUCUAAUAGGGUUGACUUUAGAGAGAGAAAGCCCUCAUAGUGAGCGCUGUUGACCGAAGUAGCAGCAGCUUAAAAGGCCGGUCCCAUUUUUUGUCCC